Long non-coding RNA from Ananas comosus (pineapple), 494 nucleotides. RefSeq lists it as uncharacterized. The record is from RefSeq and is a predicted model, not a curated record. Lineage: Eukaryota; Viridiplantae; Streptophyta; Magnoliopsida; Poales; Bromeliaceae. The transcript is spliced from 2 exons.
CAACCGUUCUACUCUAAAAACUUAAGCUGUCAGAGAAUAGUGUUUAUAUAUUUUUUAUAUUUAACGUACGUACCUCAAUGAGCUUAAAAUUCAUUGCAGGUGGAUUGGUUAUACUUUCUAGCAUUUGGUGUCGUUGCCAUUGGGCUGAUUAUCUAUUCAGUAAACGAGGCCGGGAUAGAAGGUGCAAAAGAUGAUGAAGGUGAAGAAGCAGCCGUCCAAUACGAUCAACUCACUGAAGAAAAUUCAACAACACCGCUAUUGUGAGCAGUGGAAAACUUAUAUCAACUCUAUCCAUACGGCAAUUCGAUGCUGAUGUUGAAGUUUCAUCAUAUGUGAUGUAACAAGUUCGUCCAAGAAGCUAAUUAAAAAUUGUUGAUGAAAAUUCAGAUAUGCGCAAAGUUUAUUAGAAACUAAAUCGAAAAAGUAUCUAUUCAUUGAUUGCUUAAUUACUCAUAUAAACAUUCAUCAUCAAGUAGAGGAGCGUUUCUAGCAAA